RNAcentral lists this ribosomal RNA (402 nucleotides) under bacterium. Its description in RNAcentral is "partial 16S ribosomal RNA". It matches the Rfam family "Bacterial small subunit ribosomal RNA", at positions 355 to 776 of the family's 1533-position model. The record is from RNAcentral.
UGGGGAAUUUUGCACAAUGGGGGAAACCCUGAUGCAGCGACGCCGCGUGAUUUAGAAGGCCUUCGGGUUGUAAAAAUCUUUUCUAUGGGAAGAAAAUGACAGUACCAUAGGAAUAAGGACCGGCUAAUUACGUGCCAGCAGCCGCGGUAAUACGUAAGGUCCGAGCGUUGUCCGGAAUCAUUGGGCGUAAAGGGUACGUAGGCGGGUAAGCAAGUUAGAAGUGAAAUCCUAUAGCUCAACUAAAGUAAGCUUUUAAAACUGCUCAUCUUGAGGUAUGGAAGGGAAAGUGGAAUUCCUAGUGUAGCGGAGAAAUGCGCAGAUAUUAGGAGGAAUACCGGUGGCGAAGGCGACUUUCUGGCCAUAACCUGACGCUGAGGUACGAAAGCGUGGGUAGCAAACAGG